GAUAGUGUGGCCGAGUGGUCUAUGGCGCUGGAUUUAGGAACCAGUGUCUUCGGAGGCAAGGGUUCGAAUCCCUUCACUGUCA
RNAcentral lists this transfer RNA (82 nucleotides) under Daphnia pulicaria. RNAcentral's name for it is "tRNA-Leu". It matches the Rfam family "tRNA". Rfam says of the family: Transfer RNA (tRNA) molecules are approximately 80 nucleotides in length. Their secondary structure includes four short double-helical elements and three loops (D, anti-codon, and T loops). Lineage: Eukaryota; Metazoa; Arthropoda; Branchiopoda; Diplostraca; Daphniidae. The record is from RNAcentral.